Molecule: ribosomal RNA, 255 nt
Filed under: uncultured bacterium
Lineage: Bacteria
Description: partial 16S ribosomal RNA
Rfam family: Bacterial small subunit ribosomal RNA
Source: RNAcentral
UACAGAGGGUGCGAGCGUUAAUCGGAGUUACUGGGCGUAAAGGGCGCGUAGGCGGUUAUAUAAGUGAGAUGUGAAAAUCCCUGGGCUUAACCUAGGAACUGCAUCUCAUACUGUAUGACUGGAGUAUUGUAGAGGGUAGUGGAAUUUCCGGUGUAGCGGUGAAAUGCGUAGAGAUCGGAAGGAACACCAGUGGCGAAGGCGGCUACCUGGACAAAUACUGACGCUGAGGCGGCGAGAGCGUGGGGAGCAAACAGG